RNAcentral lists this ribosomal RNA (301 nucleotides) under uncultured bacterium. RNAcentral's name for it is "partial 16S ribosomal RNA". It matches the Rfam family "Bacterial small subunit ribosomal RNA", at positions 509 to 807 of the family's 1533-position model. The record is from RNAcentral.
CAGCAGCCGCGGUAAAACGAAGGGGGCUAGCGUUGUUCGGAAUUACUGGGCGUAAAGCGCACGUAGGCGGACAUUUAAGUCAGGGGUGAAAUCCCGGGGCUCAACCCCGGAACUGCCUUUGAUACUGGGUGUCUAGAGUAUGGAAGAGGUGAGUGGAAUUCCGAGUGUAGAGGUGAAAUUCGUAGAUAUUCGGAGGAACACCAGUGGCGAAGGCGGCUCACUGGUCCAUUACUGACGCUGAGGUGCGAAAGCGUGGGGAUCAAACAGGAUUAGAGACCCCUGUAGUCCCUGUCUCUUAUAC